This 489-nucleotide ribosomal RNA is filed under the name uncultured bacterium. RNAcentral describes it as "bacterial SSU rRNA". It matches the Rfam family "Bacterial small subunit ribosomal RNA", at positions 21 to 507 of the family's 1533-position model. The record is from RNAcentral.
GGCUCAGGAUUAACGCUGGCGGCAUGCCUAAUACAUGCAAGUCGAACGAGAUCUUCGGAUCUAGUGGCGAACGGGUGAGUAACACGUAGGAAACCUACCUCAAAGUCGAGGAUAACUAUUGGAAACGAUAGCUAAAACUGGAUAGGAUAUCGGAAGGCAUCUUCUGAUAUUUAAAGGCCCUUCUGGGGACGCUAUGAGAUGGUCCUGCGGUGCAUUAGCUAGUUGGUAGGGUAGUGGCCUACCAAGGCGAUGAUGCAUAGCUGAGCUGAGAGGCUAAACAGCCACACUGGUACUGAGACACGGACCAAACUCCUACGGGAGGCAGCAGUGAGGAAUAUUCGUCAAUGGGGGAAACCCUGAACGAGCAAUGCCGCGUGAGUGAUGACGGUCUUUAUGAUUGUAAAACUCUGUUGUAAGGAAUGAAACCUUAAGAUAGGAAAUGAUCUUAAGCUGACGGUACCUUACCAGAAAGCCCCGGCUAACUACGUG